RNAcentral lists this unclassified non-coding RNA (259 nucleotides) under plant metagenome. Its description in RNAcentral is "partial contains small subunit ribosomal RNA, internal transcribed spacer 1, and 5.8S ribosomal RNA". The stretch from base 1 to 53 matches the Rfam family "Eukaryotic small subunit ribosomal RNA", at positions 1778 to 1831 of the family's 1831-position model. The record is from RNAcentral.
GGAAGUAAAGUCGUAACAAGGUUUCCGUAGGUGAACCUGCGGAAGGAUCAUUACCGAGUUAGGGUCUUCCAGGCCCGACCUCCAACCCUGUGUUUAUAUUACCAUGUUGCUUUGGCGGGCCCGCCUCUAGGGGCCGCCGGAGGCCUUACCGCCUCUGACCAGUGCUCGCCAGGUGCCCCAAUAAAUUAUUUUAAACCGUGUCGUCUGAGUAGAUAUUUAAAUCGUUUUAAAACUUUCAACAACGGAUCUCUUGGUUCUG